GACGAACGCUGGCGGCGUGCUUAACACAUGCAAGUCGAACGGAAAGGCCCUGCUUGCAGGGUACUCGAGCGGCGAACGGGUGAGUAACACGUGGGUGAUCUGCCCUGCACUUCGGGAUAAGCCUGGGAAACUGGGUCUAAUACCGGAUAGGAGCCAUUUUUAGUGUGAUGGUUGGAAAGUUUUUUCGGUGUAGGAUGAGCUCGCGGCCUAUCAGCUUGUUGGUGGGGUAAUGGCCUACCAAGGCGGCGACGGGUAGCCGGCCUGAGAGGGUGGACGGCCACAUUGGGACUGAGAUACGGCCCAGACUCCUACGGGAGGCAGCAGUGGGGAAUAUUGCACAAUGGGCGCAAGCCUGAUGCAGCGACGCCGCGUGGGGGAUGACGGCCUUCGGGUUGUAAACUCCUUUCGCUAGGGACGAAGCUUUUGUGACGGUACCUAGAUAAGAAGCACCGGCUAACUACGUG
This 464-nucleotide ribosomal RNA is filed under the name uncultured bacterium. RNAcentral describes it as "partial 16S ribosomal RNA". It matches the Rfam family "Bacterial small subunit ribosomal RNA", at positions 28 to 507 of the family's 1533-position model. The record is from RNAcentral.